This 331-nucleotide long non-coding RNA is filed under the name Olea europaea subsp. europaea. Lineage: Eukaryota; Viridiplantae; Streptophyta; Magnoliopsida; Lamiales; Oleaceae. The record is from RNAcentral.
UGACUAUCGAGCCCUGAACAAGAUUACUGUAAAGAAUAGCUAUCCUAUUCCACUGGUUGCAGAUUGCUUCGAUCGACUGAGUCGGGCGAAGUAUUACACAAAAAUUGAUCUUAGGUCCGGAUACUGGCAAGUUCGGAUUAAGGAGGGAGACGAAGCAAAGACUACGGUGGUAACCAGAUAUGGAGCCUUUGAAUUUAAGGUGAUGCCUUUUGGUUUGACAAAUGCUCCAGCAACAUUUUGUACUAUGAUGAAUCAGGUACUCCACGGGUUCUUAGAUGAUUUUGUCGUGGUGUACUUGGAUGACAUAGUAAUCUACAGCGAGACAUUGGAG